Artibeus jamaicensis (Jamaican fruit-eating bat) is the source of this 76-nucleotide small nucleolar RNA. RefSeq annotates it as small nucleolar RNA SNORD113/SNORD114 family. Lineage: Eukaryota; Metazoa; Chordata; Mammalia; Chiroptera; Phyllostomidae. The transcript has a single exon. The record is from RefSeq and is a predicted model, not a curated record.
UGGACCAAUGAUGUGAGUGGAAUGCAUUCUGAACUAUACUUCAUGAUCAAAACAUCUAUGACCUUCUGAGGUCCAU